Acanthosepion pharaonis is the source of this 114-nucleotide non-coding RNA. NCBI's taxonomy places the organism in Eukaryota, Metazoa, Mollusca, Cephalopoda, Sepiida, Sepiidae. The record is from the annotation of a GenBank genome assembly.
UUACGGUCAUAUUGCGUUGAAACACCGGACCCCGUAAGAUUACCGAAGUUAAAGAACGUCGAUCCUGAUCAGUACCUAGAUAGGUAACCACUUGGGAGUACCAGGUGCUGGAAG